GGACACGUUUCGUACUUUGCUGUGGCUUCAGUUUCCUGCGAAGCCCAGAAGCAGAGACGAUUUGGCUGAUUUUUUUUUCCACCUUUAAAAUGUAUUCUCUGUACGUUCCGAGUUAUGGUCUGAAGACGGUCGGUGUGACCUCCCCUCCCGGGGUGGGUAGGGUCAAAGCGUGAAGGCCAGGACGUGGCGGGGAGACGACGGACGUAACCAGAUCCAGGCGAAGAUCCUGUUUGUCUUCACCGAUACCGGUUUGGUCGGAGACGUUUUGAACAGAUGAUGCUUAUUCUCCCAUCGGGGUCUUGGGUUCGUUCCCAGGCCAGGGUCCACAGCGCCCGGCGGACACGGCCACACCUGGCGUGGAGGCGGACACGUUGGUUUCUCUGUCGAGCGUCUCAAGGCAGGACUUCAAACGUGAAAAAUGAAAGAAAGAAAACAAAAAACUCGCAAACACCUGUCAGGAUAAGAGCUCAUCCGUCCAAGUCGUGUGUGUCGGUGUGAGCGCUUUCGCGGACUUCGUGUCUUUGGUUCCCACUGUUCUGUCCGUCGUUCCGAGGGGUGAGCGCCGUUAGGAGGGCCUGGCCGACCUCUUCUGGGGGCUUCUCGGCCUUCGGAAUCCCGCUCCCCGUUCCUGAGCACCAUGCAGAGCUCCGUGCCCCCUUUCCGCCGGCCCGCCCGCCCGCUACGGCGCCCGGAGAUGUGCUGCGUGACCCGGGGCGUCGCCCGAGCUGUCCUGGGGCCGGAGGAGGUCAGCGGGAGCCAGAACCACGCGGGGGCUGGGGGGCGGCGAGUGCAGGGGGGAGCCGGGGCGGGGGACGCCCUAGCCAGGUGUAUAUAUCUAUACAUACGUGCAUAUAUAUAAAUACCUUGUACAUAUCUGAGUUUGAGUCAUUCAAACUAGGUGCAAAACGCUGACUUUGGAGUCUGGACCAAUGUCGCUCUUCCCCCGUCCCUGACCGCUUGCCGGUCAACGACGUCACCAACUCCUGGACCGACAGGACACACACACACGCACAGAAACCACAUAUCACGUUAGACGUUAUUUUCCUUUGUGUGCAGAGUCAACCCGGCCUUUGGGUGCCAGUUUGGAGCAUGUUCUCAACAAACAAACAAAAACGAGAAAGAAAAAAGAAAAACACAAACAAAAACAGCCCACCCCACUCCGUGAAAUCCUCCUGCGGGGAGGCUGCGUAGCCUCGUCCCCGGGUGUGUGCGGGAGCAUUCAGGUCUCCCGCCGGGUGUCGAGGGCCCCGUGGGCGGCGACAGCCUCCUGGAACCCCCGGAGCCGGGCGCGGGAAGGACCCCAGCUAACACCGUCAUGUGCUUCAGAGCUGUUUAAAACUGCUGCUUGUUUCACACAUCUUUUGCCUUUCUUCAGGCUAGCUGCAAUAAUUUUUUUCUUCUGUAAGAUAUUUUGUAAACAACCACACACACACACACACACACACACACACAGAAAAAGAAAAAAAAAACAAAACCACACUCAUUAAAGUGACAUGUGUGUGAAAAUAGAAAGAAAUGCUAGGAGCUCCUCUGCGUGACCAUACAGAACGUGAAGUUUAUUUAUUAAACCUUCCGCAGGAUAAAUAGUGACACCCCCUUAGGCCUGGAAUAGUGGUUACAAUAGAUAAUAUUUAUGGAGCAUUAAUGAUGUGUCGCCGACUAUUUAAGCUGCUUACCCGUAUUAACCUAUGAUUGAGGAUGCUCAGCGUGUAAAUAAAUCACUUCUCUGUUCAUUUUCUUGCAAAGCUACACAAUUCAGUGACCUAAUUGAAAAUAAAUGAAAACUUCUAGACCUGAAAUGAAAAUCUGACUCACAAUUCUAGCUUUGUGGCUUCAAUGACAUUGCGUGGAAGUCACUGCCUUCGAAAUGGUAUUUUGCUGUUCAAGUGGAGAGUUUCCAUUAUUCAUCAGUUGACCUUUUUAUUUCUUUGUGCACUAAUUAGUUGUACCAUUUAAUUAUGCAUAAAACUCUAAUUGAUGAUAGGAAGGGUGUCCAAAUGGCUCCGUCAAUCGGUAGGAACAAAUUGGGAUUACUGGGUGGCUUUGUUAGGUUUCACACCAAAGAGAGACGUGUAAUUACCCAUCCUGUGUGCCUUUUCCUCCUAAAAAAUGAUCAGGAUCUCAGAAUCAUCAAAGUAGUCAUGGAGUAAGAUUCAGAGCUCUGCUAGUCACCCAACCUCAUUAACCCCAAAUUAAGCACAUGUCAACCCUGUCCGUGUAGUCUGGCCGCAAGCUUCCCCGUCUUCAGACGCCCUCGCUGCAUUUUAGAAAAUGUGAGGUAGCCCAGUAGACUUUGUUUUGCUUCUUUUUUAAAUUAUUUUUUUUAUUUUUGUUUGUUUGUUUUUAAUUUUUGUUUUGUUUUGUUUUGCUUCUUUGAUCAACAUCCGCAGCCAGCGGUCCUACUGAAGCAGAAGUAGAUUGGAGCUUGAGGAAAUACAGGAGCUCCUUAUUGCCCUCAGGAUAUAAUCACAUUCCUUUCUUAUUGUUUUACUUUUAAUUCAGCUUUUAGUUUUAGUAGAAUUAUACUUGCGCAUAAGUUAGAGAUAACAUGCUGCGUGAGAUGCAGCCACCUCCCUGUACUUCUCCAUCCCCGCCCCCUCGCGACGACCACAUCCAAUUCUUUUCCUUACUUUUUUGUGUGUUUGCCUCUAUACUUGUGAGUAUUAAUUGCUAAUUACUGGGCUUUAUUCUGUGACAGUAUUUAUUGCAGUUUGCUAUGGAGGAUAGUGAUUUGCCCAGCUUCACUCCCGCCUUCCCCAGGACACCGUCCAUUUGUCCUUCCUCCCAUGUUUCCCGUGGUGAUCUGCCCAACCCCGACCCCUUCAUCGUUAGAACCCCAGAGGCCACGCACGGCCAGGCCGACUACCUCAAUGCCUCUCCCUCUCCCAGAGCAACUCCAUCCCUGUCAGUUCCUGCUCUCAGGCCCUCUCUGCCUCCUGCACGCUUAGCGUUCUACUGAGGCGACGUCACGGAAUGUCUUUCUGUUGGGCAUUCUGUCCAUUUCCUUCCAUACGAUGAGCAUAUCCUGGAGAUUUCUGACCUGGUCCAGUCUGGGCUGAUGCCUCCCCAGACUGCCCUGGCUCUCCCCUCUGUCCUGCUGAGGGCUACCUCUUCUCCUUCCCUCUCUUGGGUUCGGACGCCCCUCAAUCCAGGCCAUCUUUCUUUUUAGCCUAUUCACCUCUUCCAGUCGUGUGUCCCUCCCAUAUUACCUCAAGUAUGAGCAUUUAAGAGUUACAUUUCUGAGAAUUUGUUUGCCCCAAAUUGCCUUUACGGUUCCAUUAUUCUUCAUUGAUAGGUUUGUGAUCAGUUCCAAUUUCAAUGUACAUUUUUCUUUAACCCGUGAAGGUGUUAUUUGAUUUCCAUCUACCUCCCAGGGAUGCUAUUUAGAAUCUAAUGCUCUAUACUGAUUAAAGGCUCCACACGUCAAGAAGAUAGAACAAUUUUAAACAUAUACACACCAAUCAAAGAUCCUCAAAGUGCAUGAGGUAGGUAAAACUGACAGAAAUAGAGGGAUAGACACUUGCACCCUAUUGGUGGGCAACCUCUGUGCCCCCACUUUCACUGCUGGGAGACUGAUGGAACAGAACUCCAGUAACCACUGGAAGAAGAGUCCUGUACCACGGACCUGAAACACAUGUACCGAGACAGUGCAUGUAAGAACAGCUGCACACAUAUAUUUUUUUUUCUGAGUGCACAUAGAAUAUUCAUCAGGUAAACUAUAUGGCCCCCCAAACAAGUCUCAAUAAACUUAAAAAUAUUGAAGUCAUCCAAAGUAUCUUCUCCAACCUCAAUAGAAUAAACUAGAAGUUACACAUAUGACGUCCGUGUCUGUUUCUUCUAAUGAUGUUUGACUUAAAGUCUAUUUUAUGUGAUAUUAGUGGAGAUAGCCCUGCUCUACUUUUGGUUAUUAUUUCCGUGGCAUAUGUUUCUCACUCAUUUUACAUUCAAUCUAUUUGUGUUAUUCGACAUAAAGUGAAUUCUUACAAAAAAAAGUAUACAAUUGAGCCACUUUUAAAAUACAUUCUACCGGGAUCCCUGGGUGGCGCAGCGGUUUAGCGCCUGCCUUUGGCCCAGGGCGCGAUCCUGGAGACCCGGGAUCGAAUCCCACAUCAGGCUCUGGGUGCAUGGAGCCUGCUUCUCCCUCUGCCUGUGCCUCUGCCUCUCUCUCUCUCUCUCUGUGACUAUCAUAAAAAAAAAAAAAAAAUAAAUAAAUAAAUAAAAUACAUUCUACCAAACUCUGACUUAUUUGGAACAUUUAUUCCAUGUGAAAGAUAAUCUUAUGAGUUGAUUUAGCUAGGCGAUGGGACCCAGUGUUUGGUCAAACACUAAUCUAGAUGUUGCUAUGACAGUAUUUUGUAAGUGUGCCAAGGUACGAUUAAUUUUUUUUUUUAUCUUAUUUACUGAGACACCUGGGUGGCUCAGUCAGUUAGGCAUCAAACUCUUGAUCUCAGCUCAGGUCUUGAUCUCAGGGUCCUGAAUUCAAGCCUCACGUUGGACUCCAUGCUGGAGUGGAACCUACUUUAAAGGUUGAGUCUGUAGUCUUGUAUCUUUCAUCACUUUUAGAAAAUUUUCAGAGAUUUUCUUUUCUUUCUUUCUCUUGCUCUGUUCCUUUUUAUCUUUUAA
RNAcentral lists this long non-coding RNA (4623 nucleotides) under Canis lupus familiaris (dog). RNAcentral describes it as "lncRNA (ENSCAFG00040006962.1)". The record is from RNAcentral. Lineage: Eukaryota; Metazoa; Chordata; Mammalia; Carnivora; Canidae.